This 468-nucleotide ribosomal RNA is filed under the name uncultured bacterium. RNAcentral's name for it is "partial 16S ribosomal RNA". It matches the Rfam family "Bacterial small subunit ribosomal RNA", at positions 28 to 507 of the family's 1533-position model. The record is from RNAcentral.
GACGAACGCUGGUGGCGUGCUUAACACAUGCAAGUCGAACGGAAAGGCCCUGCUUUUGUGGGGUGCUCGAGUGGCGAACGGGUGAGUAACACGUGAGUAACCUGCCCUUGACUUUGGGAUAGCUUCAGGAAACUGGGGCUAAUACCGGAUAGGAGCUCCUGCUGCAUGGUGGGGGUUGGAAAGUUUCGGCGGUUGGGGAUGGACUCGCGGCUUAUCAGCUUGUUGGUGGGGUAGUGGCUUACCAAGGCUUUGACGGGUAGCCGGCCUGAGAGGGUGACCGGCCACAUUGGGACUGAGAUACGGCCCAGACUCCUACGGGAGGCAGCAGUGGGGAGUAUUGCACAAUGGGCGGAAGCCUGAUGCAGCAACGCCGCGUGCGGGAUGACGGCCUUCGGGUUGUAAACCGCUUUCGCCUGUGACGAAGCGUGAGUGACGGUAAUGGGUAAAGAAGCACCGGCUAACUACGUG